GUCUUGUCUCUUUUUUAAAGCUGCAGAACACAGCACAACAAGGAGGUGAUAGCUGCAGUGGUUCAAGCAGUAAAAGAUGCAGAACCAAAUUGGAGCUUCCACCAAGUUAGAAAAAUUUUUGGGAUAGGGAGGCAAUCCUACUGGUGUGAUAGACACAAUUCACCUAGUGCAACGGUGUGAAACUCAAUCACACAGGGGGCCAAAAUCCAGAUAACAUAGAAGAAAAUUGGAGUCUUCAUAUGAAGAAUUCUCACAGAGGAUGGACCACAUGGAAGAAAAACAAGCGGCGAUAUCCCAGACUCUAGAAGUCCUACUCCACAAAAUUGAGAACAUGCAAGAAGAACAAGCGGCGAUAUCCCAGACUCUAGAAGUCCUACUCCACAAAUUUGAGAACAUGCAAGAAAACCAAGCAGCCAGGACACCCGACACAAAAACACCUACUGAACUUUCAACUCUUGUCCGUCACAUACACAAGAAUCUUGGAGAGCAGCUUCAGUGGAAGAUCCGGCCAACUGACA
This 518-nucleotide long non-coding RNA is filed under the name Oryzias javanicus (javanese ricefish). Its description in RNAcentral is "lncRNA (ENSOJAG00000008795.1)". Lineage: Eukaryota; Metazoa; Chordata; Actinopteri; Beloniformes; Adrianichthyidae. The record is from RNAcentral.